This is a long non-coding RNA of Daucus carota subsp. sativus, 5319 nucleotides long. RefSeq lists it as uncharacterized. The transcript is spliced from 2 exons. The record is from RefSeq and is a predicted model, not a curated record. NCBI's taxonomy places the organism in Eukaryota, Viridiplantae, Streptophyta, Magnoliopsida, Apiales, Apiaceae.
CGCAAAAAAUCACCAUGAAGACCCGGCCCAUAAAAGAAGACUAUGAUGGACUCAAGAGUGGACCAAGCCCAAGCUAGACAUGUCAGUCAGAAGAGACCACUUCAAGAAGAUUGGGUGCGCCUUAUCUUCAGGGCGCGCCAAGUUGAAGCUUACAGAGAAAGAUCGUCAUUUGAAGGGCAGAAGGGGACAUAUUUUACCUAGGGGGACGCCCUUGGGUGUGUAUAGAUCCUACUGUUAAUUUGUCGAAGACUCUACCUUGUAGUCUGAGGAGUUGCCCUCCUUGGGAGAUAGAGAAUGAAGAUUAGAGGAGGCCUUGCUCUGUAGUCUGGCGAGUUGUCCUUGUCGGGGAGCUUGUGGAACCUUCUCGAAGAUACACCCUGGAAGGCUCUAUCUCUGUAGUCUGGCGGGUUGUCCCUGUCGGGGAGUAGAGAAGCGUCCUUGCAUUUGGGGUAAGUCUUGGGUGCUCGAGAGUCUACAAGACCCAAGACUAGGCCUCAUCGUAUUGGGCCCCUUUCAGGAGGAAGAUAGCAGAAGGGGAAGCCUAAUCCUAUUAGGUUUAGGUUUCCUAAGGAGAAAAGAACUACGUACUGGCUUGAUCCCCUAUAAAUAUAGGGGUACGUAGGCAAAUUAGGGGGACACGAGUUGGGAGCAUCUGGAGGCAACUCGAAACCCUAAUCUCAGCCACCCCUAAAAUUUCAUCACCACUGCUCAGCCACCGUCAUAGAUCUUGAUUCCGGCCAUGAACCUCGAAUUUUGUUAACUACCAAAUUCCUCCGUUAACAAAUUGGCGCUAGAAGGAGGGGCUAGUUUCAGGAUAACCAUCUUUGGAGGAAAGAUGUGCCAAGUUACGACAAUAAAAUAUAUGCACAAUCGGAAGGCAUGUAUAACACGGUGGACAGGUGAUGACCGUCGGAUCCAGGAGGGUCGCUUAAGGCAGUGAUACUGCAUACAGUGGCUACCCAGAUGGCGUCGGGACAGUUUGUAUGAGCAUCUAUAUACCUGCUUCAAAAUCAUAAGGGUAAUCGGAGAACUAGACUCGUUGGAAUCAUCAUCCACGUGAUAUGUGUGAUAUAAUCUCGCUUAUCAAAGAGAUAAGUUCUCUCUUUUCAUUAUUAAUUUUCUGCCAUUGUUUGUGUCAUAGAUUAAUAAGAUUUUACUCGAUUAAUACCUUAUAAGACAUAUACAUAUAUGAUAUACUUCAUAUUGAAUGCAUAGAGGACCUUAUUUAUAUUUAUACACGGAGAUAUUUGCGACAUAUAAUCUUAUUGUUCAUGAUGAAGAGACAAGAAAACAGAGGAUGAUUGCAGACUUGUUUAUUCAUAUGCAGAUGCUAGGACAACCAAAUUGUGUUGCGGCAAACUGGGAUUAAUAUAAAGAAAGUGUAUCAAAGCUGUUGGAUGGAGGCUACAUGGUGAAUGGUUAUUUAGGUGGCCAUUGUCAAAUAACCAAUAGGUGGGACUAAUUCAACUCCGAACUCUCUGCAUAAUAAAGGAAGGCUAGAAAGGGUGAAAAUCAGUUCGGUUAAUGAUGCAAGUCGACGUCCAAGACGUAAAACCAGAGAUGAGUCAAUUUAUUAUUAUUAUUAUUAUUAUUAUUAUUAUUAUUAUUAUUAUUAUUAUUAUUAUUAUUUAUUAAAUAAUUGCUUGCCCAUAAUUAUAAUAUGAUUUGUGUGAUAUGGUAUCAAUUUAUAUGAUUAUGACAUGACAUCUAUUAUAUGUUCUUUGCAGCUUAACCUCCUGAUUUUAUUAUAAUUUCUUGCAUGUGUUAAUUAUAUAUUGAAGUGCCAAUAUGUGAUUUUAUGCUUAUAAUAUGUAUUUAAGUGUCAACUUAAUUGAUGUAUUCGAUCUGUCCAUAUUUUUUUUAAAAAAAAAUUUAUGUGACCAUGUAGAUACAUUAGGUAGUUAGACUUUGCUCUGAGUUAUAUGUAUUACCCGAUUCCUGCAUAGAUGAACUCAUGUUAGUGUCAUUAUUUUUAUUAUAUCCGUGGUAACUGUGUGCCUUGACUUGAAUUCAAUGUCAUAUUUUAAUAUAUUAAAAAUUUAGAAUGUGCAGAUAAGUUGUUAGCAAUCGAUAGUAAGAGUGUAUUUUAGCUCUUAAUUUGGUAUAGUCGUUAAUUGAUAUAUAGUUGAUAAAUUGUCUUCCUUACAUGAUAAUAUUUCACUGAGAGUUGGGUGAUUAUGCAUUAAAGUGAGUUAUUUCAUGCAUAAUAAUUUAUCAUAUAUUCUUAUAAAUUGUGUUUUGGAAUUCGAAUAUAUUAUAUUUUCAAAGAAACUUGAACAGAAAGGUUAGGUAAAAGAUGCAGGAGAACCGCGAUGUUUAUUCUUCACGUAUAAUCGGAGUCGGAGGAAGCAAUAUAAUUAUAUAAAGCUAGCAGCUUCAGGAUCAAAUAUUGGUCCUAAUAAAAGAUAAGUUUUCUAAUUUCUAUUAUUUGGAAUCUUCAUAUUAUAUAUAUGUUCGUUUUUAUUCCUAAAAGUAAAAAAGAAAUUAUACCAUUUUUGAAUAUAUUAUAUGUGUUCACGCUCAUAAUUUUAUAUUCAAGUAAUUAUUGUAUAGUCCAAGGGAAAAAAAACCUUUUCAGAUGAAGUCGAGCCACCAUGCCAAGUUGCAAGAUACACAGGAGUGAGUGUAAAGCAGCACACGGGCAUAAAAGAUUGAGAUAAGUUUACUCAAUUCCUAUCUUGUAUUUGUAACAUGCAUACAGUUUAACCAAGUGAAACAGUAAGGGCUAUGAGGCAGGCAGGCCAAAAAUUUUAGAGACUCAAGAAGCUGGGGUUGUCUAGAAAAAAUAUGAGUCGAGCAAUCAUCAAAGUCGCGAUAAGUUUUCAUCUCAUAAUUUAAUUCAUUUUUUCUACAAAUAUUAUUUAGAUCCGAAAUUUCCCGAAGAUUAUUAUUUGCGUGUCUUCUAAGUGCAUAUAAUAGACGGAGAUAUGAACAACAAAAAGUAUAAAAAAUGGGAGGAAGCCAAAGGUUUCGUGAGAUUACAGAAGUUUAUGGGCGUCCCUGAUAUGAGAUGAGGAAAAGGAAGGAAUGAUCAAAUACAUUGCAUGAGGCUUGGAACAAGUCAGUUGCGGUUUCGACACUGAAACGAUAAGUUCUCUAAUACUAGUUUUUAUAUCGCGUAAAUAAUGGCGCUGUGCAUUAAUAACAUUUUCUCAUGCAAAUAGAUAUUGUUUUAUAAUUAGUACGCUAUGAAUAUGUGUUUAAAAAUUUUAUGUGUAUAUUUAUUUCAAAAAAAAAUAAAAAUUUAUACGUAUUCUAGAUAUUUAAAAUUAUGAUUAUAUUAAAGUGCAUAAGUUAUCUUUAUAAUAUUCUAACAUGCAUAUUAUAUCAAUUUAAGUUCAUGCAUGGAUUUUGUUGUUAUUAUGUGACAUAUUAUUAAUUUAUUAUGUGCCAUAUGUUGUGAUUAAAUUACUUUUAUACUAAAAAAAAUGUACUUGGAGGACUUGCGAAUUGUGAUACUUCAGGGCAGGUGAAACUAGAAGCAUGAAAUCUCUUCUAAUAUGCGCCUCCAAAUUUAACUCAUUAGAGAUAAGUUUUCUACCUUUUUCUUUUAAUUUAUCUACUUUGCAAUUUUAUAUAAAUUUAUGUCAUGCAUUAUUAUGUUAUAAAUGUAUUGUUGCUUUAUAUAUUCUACAAAUUUAUGUAAAUUUUUGAUGAUUAAGAUAUAUCGUGUCUCUGUGUUUAACCCCCAAUAUUUUAUUUAUAAUAACUUGCUCUCAGUAUAAAAGUGCAGGUUUCCUAACAUGAAUUGCUUAGAGGUGCUACCUAAUAUUUAGAAUACCAGUGGUUUCAAUUGAUUGUUUUGCAGGGAAGAAAUUUCUAAAUGGACGUGUUUUUAAUUCUAAUAUACUCGUUAGUUGAAAGUUUUGCAGGAUGAAAAUAAUGUGAAUGGAGAAGGAAUAAGAUAUUUACAAAAUGUGUCUUCCCCUAACAAGGCACGUCACGAGAGACACGUCCAACACUCCAGUCUUCAAGAUUCAGAGUAAAUAUGUCACAACACAUCUUCGCAACACUGUCUUCUCCAACUUGCAUCUUCAAGUCAAGCUCAUACUCCGAAACUGGGGGGUGAUCAUACAAAUUAGAAGAAGGAUUUGGAUAAAAAGGGCGCGCCUCAUCCUCAUCUUCAGCCUCGGCUUCCGCGGCCUCAUCUCUCCUUCAUUCUUGGCUUCCGUGGCCUCUCCUUCAUCCCUGGCUUCCGCGGCCUCUCCUUCAGCCUCGGCUUCCACGGCCUCAUCUUCAUCAACUCAGUCUUGGCUUUCGCGGCCUCUCAUUCAGCCUCGGCUUCCGCGGCCUCAUCUUCAUCAACUCAGUCUUGGCUUCCGCGGCCUCUCAUUCAGCCUCGGCUUCCGCGGCCUCAUUCUCUGCAACCUCGCCAUUGUCUCUAUCAAGCAAACACUGCCUUCACCUCCGUUAGGCAGAAUCAUCGUCAUCUUCAAACAACUCCUUCAACAUUGGCUUCAGAGGAAAUUUCUUCAACAUAUGGCGCGUCUAGUUAAAGAACGUCAACAUCUUCUGCAUCAGCAAAGAACAACCAAGAUAGGACAUCUUAGGGGAUGAAGAACAUCAAGAUCUCGUCGACAUCUUCAAUGCCACCAAGAUCUGGGGGGUAGUUGUUAUACGCAAAAAAUCACCAUGAAGACCCGGCCCAUAAAAGAAGACUAUGAUGGACUCAAGAGUGGACCAAGCCCAAGCUAGACAUGUCAGUCAGAAGAGACCACUUCAAGAAGAUUGGGUGCGCCUUAUCUUCAGGGCGCGCCAAGUUGAAGCUUACAGAGAAAGAUCGUCAUUUGAAGGGCAGAAGGGGACAUAUUUUACCUAGGGGGACGCCCUUGGGUGUGUAUAGAUCCUACUGUUAAUUUGUCGAAGACUCUACCUUGUAGUCUGAGGAGUUGCCCUCCUUGGGAGAUAGAGAAUGAAGAUUAGAGGAGGCCUUGCUCUGUAGUCUGGCGAGUUGUCCUUGUCGGGGAGCUUGUGGAACCUUCUCGAAGAUACACCCUGGAAGGCUCUAUCUCUGUAGUCUGGCGGGUUGUCCCUGUCGGGGAGUAGAGAAGCGUCCUUGCAUUUGGGGUAAGUCUUGGGUGCUCGAGAGUCUACAAGACCCAAGACUAGGCCUCAUCGUAUUGGGCCCCUUUCAGGAGGAAGAUAGCAGAAGGGGAAGCCUAAUCCUAUUAGGUUUAGGUUUCCUAAGGAGAAAAGAACUACGUACUGGCUUGAUCCCCUAUAAAUAUAGGGGUACGUAGGCAAAUUAGGGGGACACGAGUUGGGAGCAUCUGGAGGCAACUCGAAACCCUAAUCUCAGCCACCCCUAAAAUUUCAUCA